GACGAACGCUGGCGGCGUGCUUAACACAUGCAAGUCGAGCGAUGAAGCCGGAGCUUGCUCCGGUGGAUUAGUGGCGAACGGGUGAGUAACACGUGAGCAAUCUGCCCUUGACUCUGGGAUAACUGCGGGAAACUGUAGCUAAUACCGGAUACGACACCUUGGGGCAUCCCAGGGUGUGGAAAGAAUUUCGGUCAAGGAUGAGCUCGCGGCCUAUCAGCUAGUUGGUGAGGUAAUGGCUCACCAAGGCGACGACGGGUAGCCGGCCUGAGAGGGUGACCGGCCACACUGGAACUGAGAAACGGUCCAGACUCCUACGGGAGGCAGCAGUGGGGAAUAUUGCACAAUGGGCGAAAGCCUGAUUCAGCAACGCCGCGUGAGGGAUGAAGGCCUUCGGGUUGUAAACCUCUUUUAGUAGGGAAGAAGCGAAAGUGACGGUACCUGCAGAAAAAGCACCGGCUAACUACGUGCCAGCAGCCGCGGUAA
Molecule: ribosomal RNA, 483 nt
Filed under: uncultured bacterium
Lineage: Bacteria
Description: partial 16S ribosomal RNA
Rfam family: Bacterial small subunit ribosomal RNA
Source: RNAcentral